CUAGCUGUAAACGAUGGAUACUAGGCGUUGAGAGUAUCGACCCUCUCAGUGUCGUAGCUAACGCGUUAAGUAUCCCGCCUGGGGAGUGCGCGCGCAAGCGUGAAACUCAAAGGAAUUGACGGGGGCCCGCACAAGCGGUGGAGUAUGUGGUUUAAUUCGAUGCAACGCGAAGAACCUUACCAGGGCUUGACAUGUCCGGAACCCUGCCCAAAGGCGGGGGUGCCUACGGGAACCGGAACACAGGUGGUGC
Molecule: ribosomal RNA, 250 nt
Filed under: uncultured Chroococcidiopsis sp.
Lineage: Bacteria; Bacillati; Cyanobacteriota; Cyanophyceae; Chroococcidiopsidales; Chroococcidiopsidaceae
Description: partial 16S ribosomal RNA
Rfam family: Bacterial small subunit ribosomal RNA
Source: RNAcentral